This is a long non-coding RNA of Phyllostomus hastatus (greater spear-nosed bat), 929 nucleotides long. RefSeq lists it as uncharacterized. The record is from RefSeq and is a predicted model, not a curated record. The transcript is spliced from 6 exons. Lineage: Eukaryota; Metazoa; Chordata; Mammalia; Chiroptera; Phyllostomidae.
CCUCUCUCCCGCCCACCUCCGCGUGCACUUCACCCGACGAGUCCCGGGGCCGCAGACCCACCUCCUCCUCUGGGGUGCCGCCGGAGCCCGAGCCCGUGCCGGUGCUGGUGCUGUGCUCGUCGUCCGGCUUCAGAAGAGCUGAUAUUUGCUCGUGGUGCUCAUGGUACAAGAUUCACAAGGUACAAAGGAAUGGUGAGAACAGUCCUUAAAAAGUAGCUCAGCCUGGAGAAUACAGCCAGGGGUCCCUGAGCCCUGCGGAAUGGAUGAAUGAACACUGUCGGAGGCAUUUAUGAGCACCUACUGUAUACCAAAGACUACAUUGAGCCCCACCGGGGAUGAAGCAGCCUUCAGCCAGGCCAGCUGGGAAUGCCCCAGGAGGCAGCGGCACUGGAGCCCGAGCCUGAAGGACCUCCGGCCUCCCGCCCCCUUCCCUGGACCACAGUUUUCUCAUUGUGAAACGAGGCCUUUGGACCAGCCGACUGAUGUGGCCCCUUUCUGCUGUUCUGUCUCAGCAGGUGAUGCUAUUGGAAUCCUGAGAAAUGAAGCCUUGAGAGCGGGAUUUCUGGGACAAGGCCAGGCCAGGAGGCUCCCCAGGGGUGCUCCUUCUGCGAAGGCUCUGAGCACUGCGGGGAGGCCUCAGACACGCGGGUGCCCGUCCUGGCCUCAACGUGUAGAGCCUUGAGGCCCUGAGCUGCCCAUUGUGCGCUUCGGACUCCUGCUCCGUGAGCUGGACCUGACAAUGCCCCUCAUACACACUCUGGUGAGAAGAUGACAGAGGGAAGAAGAGGGGCAGUUAUGACAAAUGCACGGACCAGGGCUGAGACCUCGUGUUUGUUGGAAGAUGGAGAGGGAAAAAACUUUUCUCCUCUUCUCCUAGUGGGUGGGCACAGCCUGUGUCUUUGGGAAGACUGUAAGAAAGCAAUCACCUA